This is an RNA transcript of Armigeres subalbatus, 1269 nucleotides long. It is a transcript of the gene named small ribosomal subunit protein eS17, with no coding region annotated. The record is from RefSeq and is a predicted model, not a curated record. NCBI's taxonomy places the organism in Eukaryota, Metazoa, Arthropoda, Insecta, Diptera, Culicidae. The transcript is spliced from 4 exons.
GGAGCGCACAGGUGACAGUUUGGUUUCUUUCUGUUGGCAGCUCUGCAUUGUGACAGCUGUCAAAAUUUGGCAUCGGAAGGACGUGACGUCAUUGAUCCCUUUUCCUCACGUUUUCGUAGUGAACGACAGCAGCAAAACUUUGAGCCAAAAUGGGUCGCGUUCGUACCAAGACCGUCAAGAAGGCCUCUAAGGUCAUUAUUGAGAAGUACUACACUCGGCUGACGAUGGAUUUCCACACAAACAAGCGCAUCGUCGAAGAAGUGGCUAUCAUUCCUACCAAGCCCCUGCGCAACAAAAUUGCCGGUUUCGUGACACAUCUGAUGAAGCGUCUGCGUCACUCCCAGGUGCGUGGUAUUUCCAUCAAGCUGCAGGAAGAAGAACGUGAACGCAGGGAUAACUACGUGCCGGAAGUGUCCGCUCUGGAGCAGGACAUCAUCGAAGUUGAUCCCGAGACCAAGGAGAUGUUGAAGCAGUUGGACUUCAACAACAUUGUCGUCCAAGUCACGAAUCCUUCCGCACAGGGUUACAACCGACGCAACUAAGUUUCAGCAAGUAUCUUGAUUAAGUCGGGGAGCACUGGGAUGUUGUUCUAAAAUUUCCCAAAUCUAAACAUCUGUGCAAGGAGAGUAUCGUAUUGUAUGCAAAAGUAUAUGAUCCUUCGCAAGUUAAGGAAAUAUAGAUGAUAACAAGGUAUAUAUCGGAACCAAAAUUUCAAAAGGGCGAAACAGCUUUUGCCAACAAUCAUCGUCGGUAGGCUAAUUCGUGCCCACCAACGCCAUUUAAUGAAGGAUAAGAAUUCGCUGCUUUCAUCAAUGGUAUUGGAUUGCAUGGGUGGGCUCAAAUGAGCUCACAAGCGACGUGAGAACCACUAUUUAGAAAAACAGUAUCGCCAUUUUGAAAAGUUGUAGUCGAUAUAUCUAGACCAACAUUUGAAAAGGGCGUAACAGCCAAAAUUUAUUUCUUCUGAUUCUUCAUCUACAUAUAUAGCAGUAUCAGCAGUAUCAGCAGAAAUAAAUUUUGGCUGUUACGCCCAUUUCUAUAGUUUUUCUAGUUAGUAAUUAAUGGAUAGUCUCCAAAGCUUCCACUCGUCUUAGUUUAGCUGUUUAGCAGGAAGAUCUAUGGGAGGCGUACAAAACAGCCUAUCGGCUGGCUUCAUAUGCCCAGGAAAUCCGAGGAUUGAAUAUAUAAAGAAAUGAAAAAAUCUCACACACUAUAGACAGACAUAUGAUUUGUGAUUUCUGUACGUACAAUGAGGUACACGUAAAGCAA